AAUUUUCAGCGAUGGAUGUCUUGGCUCGCGCAACGAUGAAGGACGCAGUGAAAUGCGAAACGCAAUGUGAAUUGCA
This 76-nucleotide ribosomal RNA is filed under the name Sarcocystis cruzi. RNAcentral describes it as "partial 5.8S ribosomal RNA". It matches the Rfam family "5.8S ribosomal RNA", at positions 1 to 76 of the family's 154-position model. Rfam says of the family: 5.8S ribosomal RNA (5.8S rRNA) is a component of the large subunit of the eukaryotic ribosome. The record is from RNAcentral. Lineage: Eukaryota; Apicomplexa; Conoidasida; Eucoccidiorida; Sarcocystidae.